Molecule: long non-coding RNA, 591 nt
Organism: Helianthus annuus (common sunflower)
Lineage: Eukaryota; Viridiplantae; Streptophyta; Magnoliopsida; Asterales; Asteraceae
Exons: 3
Source: RefSeq, a predicted model, not a curated record
UCUUCAAAAACACUGGUAGCCGCACAAACCUCAUGGCCUUCCCUUUCAUCUCUACUCCCCCUCUCUCUCUCUCUCACGAAAUCAUAAAACAAACACAGUUGAUUCACCUUCCUCUCAAUCAAACCCAAACCAUAAUAAGACACCAUCAUCUCUCGGCCCCCUCCUCUCGACCUCCGUUUCCGACGACCAGCGCGGCGGCGUAGGGAGAUGACCGGCAACACCCUUUCGUAUCUCCCACACCCUCACCGGAAUCCUAUCAUACGACUCGGAGCUUCGCCGGAGAAAAUAGACGUCGCCGGAGUCACAUAACCACGUCGGAGAUCACGUCACCAGAAACCCGCAAGCUUUUACGUUCCGGAUAUUCAUUUCCUGUUCGUUACUUUGGAAUUCUCCAUCCUUACUCGUGCGAUAAUUCAAGGAAUUCCCAUACGCAACCAAGGAAUAUCAAUGACGCAUGGAAUCUAGUAGGAUUGCCUAGAAACGCAUUUGAACGUUAAAUACUUGUUGUAAUGUAAUUUAUUUCAUACAUGUUGUAAUUAGUUCCAAAACAAUUAUAUUAAACUGUUAUGAAAUGAAAUUAUAUUUCUUUUA